GACGAACGCUGGCGGCGUGCUUAACACAUGCAAGUCGAACGGUGAAGCCCUUCGGGGUGGAUCAGUGGCGAACGGGUGAGUAACACGUGAGCAACCUGCCCCUGGCUCUGGGACAACCACUGGAAGCGGUGGCUAAUACCGGAUACGACCCGCCUCGGCAUCGAGUGUGGGUGGAAAGUUUUUCGGCUGGGGAUGGGCUCGCGGCCUAUCAGCUUGUUGGUGAGGUGAAGGCUCACCAAGGCGACGACGGGUAGCCGGCCUGAGAGGGCGACCGGCCACACUGGGACUGAGACACGGCCCAGACUCCUACGGGAGGCAGCAGUGGGGAAUAUUGCACAAUGGGCGAAAGCCUGAUGCAGCGACGCCGCGUGAGGGAUGACGGCCUUCGGGUUGUAAACCUCUUUCAGCUCCGAAGAAGCGAAAGUGACGGUAGGAGCAGAAGAAGCACCGGCUAACUACGUG
Molecule: ribosomal RNA, 462 nt
Filed under: uncultured bacterium
Lineage: Bacteria
Description: partial 16S ribosomal RNA
Rfam family: Bacterial small subunit ribosomal RNA
Source: RNAcentral